RNAcentral lists this ribosomal RNA (480 nucleotides) under Bacillus sp. oral taxon F28. Its description in RNAcentral is "bacterial SSU rRNA". It matches the Rfam family "Bacterial small subunit ribosomal RNA", at positions 28 to 485 of the family's 1533-position model. The record is from RNAcentral. Lineage: Bacteria; Bacillati; Bacillota; Bacilli; Caryophanales; Bacillaceae.
GACGAACGCUGGCGGCGUGCCUAAUACAUGCAAGUCGAGCGCGGGAAGCUUGCGGAAUCCUUCGGGAGGAAGUGAGCGGACCGAGCGGCGGACGGGUGAGUAACACGUGGGCAACCUGCCCGUAAGACGGGGAUAACCCCGGGAAACCGGGGCUAAUACCGGAUAGGUGACCUUUCUGCAUGGAGGGGUCAUGAAAGGCGGCGGAAGCCGUCGCUUACGGAGGGGCCCGCGGCGCAUUAGCUAGUUGGUGAGGGAAGGGCUCACCAAGGCGACGAUGCGUAGCCGGCCUGAGAGGGUGAACGGCCACACUGGGACUGAGACACGGCCCAGACUCCUACGGGAGGCAGCAGUAGGGAAUCUUCCGCAAUGGACGGAAGUCUGACGGAGCAACGCCGCGUGAGUGAGGAAGGCCUUCGGGUCGUAAAGCUCUGUUGUUCGUGAAGAAGGGGUGGCCAGGAAAUGGGCCGACAUGACGUAGCA